GAUCAUGGCUCAGAUUGAACGCUGGCGGCAUGCCUUACACAUGCAAGUCGAACGGCAGCGCGGACUUCGGUCUGGCGGCGAGUGGCGAACGGGUGAGUAAUAUAUCGGAACGUACCCAGUAGCGGGGGAUAACUACUCGAAAGAGUAGCUGAUACCGCAUACGCCCUAAGGGGGAAAGGGGGGGAUCUUCGGACCUCUCACUAUUGGAGCGGCCGAUAUCGGAUUAGCUAGUUGGUGAGGUAAAGGCUCACCAAGGCUGCGAUCCGUAGCUGGUUUGAGAGGACGACCAGCCACACUGGGACUGAGACACGGCCCAGACUCCUACGGGAGGCAGCAGUGGGGAAUUUUGGACAAUGGGGGCAACCCUGAUCCAGCCAUCCCGCGUGUGCGAUGAAGGCCUUCGGGUUGUAAAGCACUUUUGGCAGGAAAGAAAUCGCACGGGAUAAUACCCUGUGUGGAUGACGGUACCUGCAGAAUAAGCACCGGCUAACUACGUG
Molecule: ribosomal RNA, 497 nt
Filed under: uncultured bacterium
Lineage: Bacteria
Description: bacterial SSU rRNA
Rfam family: Bacterial small subunit ribosomal RNA
Source: RNAcentral